Dermacentor andersoni is the source of this 229-nucleotide long non-coding RNA. RefSeq lists it as uncharacterized. Lineage: Eukaryota; Metazoa; Arthropoda; Arachnida; Ixodida; Ixodidae. The record is from RefSeq and is a predicted model, not a curated record.
ACAGUGCGCGCGAGGCACCAUAGGAUCUUAUCGCACUUGGACUUUCUAUGGAACAUGAUCAGGCUCUACUUCAAAGGUCACUCUUGUUGCACAGUGGGCAAUUUGAGAGUGCGCACUAGAAACAUGGACGAAGAGGAGAGACAAAGCACAAGUGUGGACCACAUGUCUGGCCACAUACGGCUGACCACUUAUGGCUGUUUGAAUGCAAUAAACUUUUAGUCGUGAGUCA